Molecule: unclassified non-coding RNA, 376 nt
Filed under: uncultured fungus
Lineage: Eukaryota; Fungi
Description: partial contains small subunit ribosomal RNA, internal transcribed spacer 1, and 5.8S ribosomal RNA
Rfam family: Eukaryotic small subunit ribosomal RNA (bases 1-73)
Source: RNAcentral
UCAAACUUGGUCAUUUAGAGGAAGUAAAAGUCGUAACAAGGUUUCCGUAGGUGAACCUGCGGAAGGAUCAUCACUGAUUCAGGGGGAGAGCGUGUGUGUGUGUGUGCGUGCGCGUUCACGCACGCGCGCCGCGCCACCCCAACCAAUCUUUUGUGCACGGUUUCACGGUCAACGAGACGCCGCGCGUGUGUUGGCAAGUCGUCCUCCCAGUGUAUGGUGGUGACUACUACUACUUGCCAACCGCAUGCGUCUGUGCGCGCUCUUUGCUUACACAAUCUCUUGUGCAAUCUCUGUCUAACGCGCGCAUUACCUAAAAUAUAUUAACACAACUUUCAACAAUGGAUCUCUUGGCUCUCGCAUCGAUGAAGAACGCAGC